AUUCGAGUGGCGAACGGGUGAGUAACACGUGGGUGAUCUGCCCUGCACUCUGGGAUAAGCCUGGGAAACUGGGUCUAAUACCGGAUAGGACCAUGCUUUAGUGUGUGUGGUGGAAAGUUUUUCGGUGUAGGAUGAGCCCGCGGCCUAUCAGCUUGUUGGUGGGGUAAUGGCCUACCAAGGCGGCGACGGGUAGCCGGACUGAGAGGUUGGUCGGCCACAUUGGGACUGAGAUACGGCCCAG
Molecule: ribosomal RNA, 241 nt
Filed under: uncultured Actinomycetales bacterium
Lineage: Bacteria; Bacillati; Actinomycetota; Actinomycetes; Actinomycetales
Description: partial 16S ribosomal RNA
Rfam family: Bacterial small subunit ribosomal RNA
Source: RNAcentral